AGAGUUUGAUUCAUGGCUCAGAAUGAACGCUGGCGGCGCGCCUAAUACAUGCAAGUCGAGCGAGAAGACGUAGCAAUACGUUUGUAAAGCGGCGAACGGGUGAGGAAUACAUGGGUAACCUACCCUAGAGUGGGGAAUAACUAGCCGAAAGGUUAGCUAAUACCGCGUACGCUUCUUGGACUUCGGUUCAGGGAGGAAAGCGCUACCGAGGGUAGCGCGCUCUUGGAUGGGCUCAUGUCCUAUCAGCUUGUUGGUGAGGUAAUGGCUCACCAAGGCUUCGACGGGUAGCUGGUCUGAGAGGACGAUCAGCCACACUGGCACUGCGACACGGGCCAGACUCCUACGGGAGGCAGCAGUAAGGAAUAUUGCGCAAUGGGCGAAAGCCUGACGCAGCGACGCCGCGUGGGGGAUGAAGGUCUUCGGAUUGUAAACCCCUUUCAGGAGGGAUGAUGGAAUGGGGUAACCCAUUCGGACGGUACCUCCAGAAGCAGCCACGGCUAACUUCGUGCCAGCAGCCGCGGUAAUACGAAGGUGGCAAGCGUUAUUCGGAUUUACUGGGCGUACAGGGAGCGUAGGCGGUUUGGUAAGCCCUCUGUGAAAUCUCCAGGCUUAACCUGGAAAAGUCGGAGGGGACUGCUGGGCUAGAGGACGGGAGAGGAGCGCGGAAUUCCCGGUGUAGCGGUGAAAUGCGUAGAGAUCGGGAGGAAGGCCGGUGGCGAAGGCGGCGCUCUGGAACGUUUCUGACGCUGAGGCUCGAAAGCGUGGGGAGCAAACAGGAUUAGAUACCCUGGUAGUCCACGCCUUAAACUAU
This 811-nucleotide ribosomal RNA is filed under the name uncultured bacterium. Its description in RNAcentral is "bacterial SSU rRNA". It matches the Rfam family "Bacterial small subunit ribosomal RNA", at positions 8 to 810 of the family's 1533-position model. The record is from RNAcentral.